GGAAUUGUUCGCAAUGGGCGCAAGCCUGACGACGCAACGCCGCGUGGAGGAUGAAGACCUUCGGGUCGUAAACUCCUUUCGACCGAGAUGAAUUCCCGUCGACCCAAUACGUCGACGGGGUGACAGUAUCGAGGGCAGCAGCCCCGGCUAACUCCGUGCCAGCCGCCGCGGUAAUACGGGGGGGGCAAGCGUUGUUCGGAAUUACUGGGCGUAAAGGGUUCGUAGGUGGCCAACUAAGUCAGACGUGAAAUCCCUCGGCUCAACCGGGGAACUGCGUCUGAGACUGGAUGGCUUGAGUGCAGGAGAGGAACGCGGAAUUCCAGGUGUAGCGGUGAAAUGCGUAGAUAUCUGGAGGAACACCGGUGGCGAAGGCGGCGUUCUGGACUGCUACUGACACUGAGGAACGAAAGCCAGGGGAGCAAA
This 423-nucleotide ribosomal RNA is filed under the name uncultured bacterium. Its description in RNAcentral is "bacterial SSU rRNA". It matches the Rfam family "Bacterial small subunit ribosomal RNA", at positions 358 to 772 of the family's 1533-position model. The record is from RNAcentral.